RNAcentral lists this ribosomal RNA (1408 nucleotides) under Streptococcus thermophilus. Its description in RNAcentral is "bacterial SSU rRNA". It matches the Rfam family "Bacterial small subunit ribosomal RNA". Lineage: Bacteria; Bacillati; Bacillota; Bacilli; Lactobacillales; Streptococcaceae. The record is from RNAcentral.
GUAGAACGCUGAAGAGAGGAGCUUGCUCUUCUUGGAUGAGUUGCGAACGGGUGAGUAACGCGUAGGUAACCUGCCUUGUAGCGGGGGAUAACUAUUGGAAACGAUAGCUAAUACCGCAUAACAAUGGAUGACACAUGUCAUUUAUUUGAAAGGGGCAAUUGCUCCACUACAAGAUGGACCUGCGUUGUAUUAGCUAGUAGGUGAGGUAAUGGCUCACCUAGGCGACGAUACAUAGCCGACCUGAGAGGGUGAUCGGCCACACUGGGACUGAGACACGGCCCAGACUCCUACGGGAGGCAGCAGUAGGGAAUCUUCGGCAAUGGGGGCAACCCUGACCGAGCAACGCCGCGUGAGUGAAGAAGGUUUUCGGAUCGUAAAGCUCUGUUGUAAGUCAAGAACGGGUGUGAGAGUGGAAAGUUCACACUGUGACGGUAGCUUACCAGAAAGGGACGGCUAACUACGUGCCAGCAGCCGCGGUAAUACGUAGGUCCCGAGCGUUGUCCGGAUUUAUUGGGCGUAAAGCGAGCGCAGGCGGUUUGAUAAGUCUGAAGUUAAAGGCUGUGGCUCAACCAUAGUUCGCUUUGGAAACUGUCAAACUUGAGUGCAGAAGGGGAGAGUGGAAUUCCAUGUGUAGCGGUGAAAUGCGUAGAUAUAUGGAGGAACACCGGUGGCGAAAGCGGCUCUCUGGUCUGUAACUGACGCUGAGGCUCGAAAGCGUGGGGAGCGAACAGGAUUAGAUACCCUGGUAGUCCACGCCGUAAACGAUGAGUGCUAGGUGUUGGAUCCUUUCCGGGAUUCAGUGCCGCAGCUAACGCAUUAAGCACUCCGCCUGGGGAGUACGACCGCAAGGUUGAAACUCAAAGGAAUUGACGGGGGCCCGCACAAGCGGUGGAGCAUGUGGUUUAAUUCGAAGCAACGCGAAGAACCUUACCAGGUCUUGACAUCCCGAUGCUAUUUCUAGAGAUAGAAAGUUACUUCGGUACAUCGGUGACAGGUGGUGCAUGGUUGUCGUCAGCUCGUGUCGUGAGAUGUUGGGUUAAGUCCCGCAACGAGCGCAACCCCUAUUGUUAGUUGCCAUCAUUCAGUUGGGCACUCUAGCGAGACUGCCGGUAAUAAACCGGAGGAAGGUGGGGAUGACGUCAAAUCAUCAUGCCCCUUAUGACCUGGGCUACACACGUGCUACAAUGGUUGGUACAACGAGUUGCGAGUCGGUGACGGCGAGCUAAUCUCUUAAAGCCAAUCUCAGUUCGGAUUGUAGGCUGCAACUCGCCUACAUGAAGUCGGAAUCGCUAGUAAUCGCGGAUCAGCACGCCGCGGUGAAUACGUUCCCGGGCCUUGUACACACCGCCCGUCACACCACGAGAGUUUGUAACACCCGAAGUCGGUGAGGUAACCUUUGGAGCCAGCC